Molecule: non-coding RNA, 27 nt
Filed under: Mus musculus (house mouse)
Lineage: Eukaryota; Metazoa; Chordata; Mammalia; Rodentia; Muridae
Source: RNAcentral
UAUGAGCAGCAUCAGGACAACCCACAA